UACGGAGGGGGCUAGCGUUGUUCGGAAUUACUGGGCGUAAAGAGCGCGCAGGCGGUCGAUCAAGUCGAGUGUGAAAGCCCCCGGCUCAACUGGGGAGGGUCAUUCGAUACUGAUCGACUCGAAGGCAGGAGAGGGUAGUGGAAUUCCCGGUGUAGUGGUGAAAUGCGUAGAUAUCGGGAGGAACACCAGUGGCGAAGGCGACUACCUGGCCUGUUCUUGACGCUGAGGCGCGAAAGCUAGGGGAGCAAACGGG
This 253-nucleotide ribosomal RNA is filed under the name uncultured bacterium. RNAcentral's name for it is "partial 16S ribosomal RNA". It matches the Rfam family "Bacterial small subunit ribosomal RNA", at positions 524 to 776 of the family's 1533-position model. The record is from RNAcentral.